This 149-nucleotide non-coding RNA is filed under the name Pseudomonas sp. RNAcentral's name for it is "FMN sequence". It matches the Rfam family "FMN riboswitch aptamer (RFN element)". From Rfam's summary of the family: The RFN element is a highly conserved domain that is found frequently in the 5'-untranslated regions of prokaryotic mRNAs that encode for flavin mononucleotide (FMN) biosynthesis and transport proteins. This element is a metabolite-dependent riboswitch that directly binds FMN in the absence of proteins. The record is from RNAcentral. RNAcentral also lists the same sequence under 1 other name. Lineage: Bacteria; Pseudomonadati; Pseudomonadota; Gammaproteobacteria; Pseudomonadales; Pseudomonadaceae.
GCACGUUCUCAGGGCGGGGUGCAAGUCCCCACCGGCGGUAAUGGCGUACAACGCCUAGCCCGCGAGCGCUUCAGGCCCUUCCUGAAGGUCAGCAGACCCGGUGUGAUUCCGGGGCCGACGGUCAUAGUCCGGAUGAAGAGAGAACGGGA